RNAcentral lists this ribosomal RNA (512 nucleotides) under Bombyx mori (domestic silkworm). Its description in RNAcentral is "partial large subunit ribosomal RNA". The record is from RNAcentral. Lineage: Eukaryota; Metazoa; Arthropoda; Insecta; Lepidoptera; Bombycidae.
GUCUUUUUGUUAAUAAUUUAAAGUCUAAUCUGCCCACUGAUAUAUUUAUUAAAGGGCUGCAGUAUUUUGACUGUACAAAGGUAGCAUAAUCAUUAGUCUUUUAAUUGGUGACUUGUAUGAAAGAUUGGAUGAAAUAUAAACUGUCUCUUUUAUAAAAAAAAAGUUGAAUUUAAUUUUUUAAUUAAAAAGUUAAAAUUAUUUAAAAAGACGAGAAGACCCUAUAGAGUUUUAUAAUUUAUUUUGUAAAUAUUUUUAUUUUUAUAUUUUUAUAAUUUUAAAUUAUUUUGUUGGGGUGAUAAAAAAAUUUAAUUAACUUUUUUUAAUAGUUUACAUUAAUAAGUGAUUAAAUGAUCCAAUUUUAUUGAUUAAAAGAAAAAAUUACCUUAGGGAUAACAGCGUAAUUUUUUUUUUUAGUUCAAAUAAAAAGAAAAGUUUGCGACCUCGAUGUUGGAUUAAGAUAAAAUUUAAAUGUAGAAGUUUAAAAUUUUGAUCUGUUCGAUCAUUAAAAUCUU